RNAcentral lists this long non-coding RNA (292 nucleotides) under Phoenix dactylifera (date palm). RNAcentral's name for it is "long non-coding RNA (PDAC_LNC002560)". Lineage: Eukaryota; Viridiplantae; Streptophyta; Magnoliopsida; Arecales; Arecaceae. The record is from RNAcentral.
CAUCAUUGCAUUUUAAUAAAUUAAUUCGAGUUUGAUUUAAUUAUUUAUUAAUUGAGCCUAAUGUAUGCAGGUCGAGUCAAGCUCAAUAAGAUAAAGUCUAAACCUACACUGCAUCAUUUCACAUCCUCCGGAGUCGACUCCAAGAACUUUCCUCCAAAACCCAGUGCUUCCCAUUAAUUCCCAUCUGCACCUAAUUCUCUUUCCACACUUUUCAAUUAUUUGUUUCUCAGAUCUCAAAGCAUACCAUCUAGUUGCACGGAUCCCAAAGCCUUAUCUUCUUCAAAUCUCAGCC